Molecule: ribosomal RNA, 431 nt
Filed under: uncultured bacterium
Lineage: Bacteria
Description: partial 16S ribosomal RNA
Rfam family: Bacterial small subunit ribosomal RNA
Source: RNAcentral
AACGAACGCUGGCGGCAGGCCUAACACAUGCAAGUCGAGCGCCCCGCAAGGGGAGCGGCGGACGGGUGAGUAACGCGUGGGGACGUACCCUUUGCUACGGAAUAGCCUCGGGAAACUGGGAGUAAUACCGUAUGUGUCCUUCGGGAGAAAGAUUUAUCGGCAAGGGAUCGGCCCGCGUUGGAUUAGGUAGUUGGUGGGGUAAUGGCCUACCAAGCCGACGAUCCAUAGCUGGUUUGAGAGGAUGAUCAGCCACACUGGGACUGAGACACGGCCCAGACUCCUACGGGAGGCAGCAGUGGGGAAUCUUAGACAAUGGGCGCAAGCCUGAUCGAGCCAUGCCGCGUGAGCGAUGAAGGCCUUAGGGUUGUAAAGCUCUUUCAGGGGGGAAGAUAAUGACUGUACCCCCAGAAGAAGCCCCGGCUAACUCCGUG